GAUGAACGCUGGCGGCGUGCCUAAUACAUGCAAGUCGAGCGAAUGACGAGGAGCUUGCUCCUCUGAUUUAGCGGCGGACGGGUGAGUAACACGUGGGUAACCUGCCUGUAAGACGGGGAUAACUCAGGGAAACCGGAGCUAAUACCGGAUGAUAACGAGAAGUGCCUGCUUCUUUUUUGAAAGUCGGUUUCGGCUGACGCGUACAGAUGGGCCCGCGGCGCAUUAGCUAGUUGGUGAGGUAACGGCUCACCAAGGCGACGAUGCGUAGCCGACCUGAGAGGGUGAUCGGCCACACUGGGACUGAGACACGGCCCAGACUCCUACGGGAGGCAGCAGUAGGGAAUCUUCGGCAAUGGACGAAAGUCUGACCGAGCAACGCCGCGUGAGCGAUGAAGGCCUUCGGGUCGUAAAGCUCUGUUGUCAGAGAAGAACAAGUACCGGAGUAACUGCCGGUACCUUGACGGUACCUGACCAGAAAGCCACGGCUAACUACGUGCCAGCAGCCGCAGUAA
RNAcentral lists this ribosomal RNA (512 nucleotides) under uncultured bacterium. RNAcentral describes it as "partial 16S ribosomal RNA". It matches the Rfam family "Bacterial small subunit ribosomal RNA", at positions 28 to 523 of the family's 1533-position model. The record is from RNAcentral.